This 250-nucleotide long non-coding RNA is filed under the name Mytilus galloprovincialis (Mediterranean mussel). Lineage: Eukaryota; Metazoa; Mollusca; Bivalvia; Mytilida; Mytilidae. The record is from RNAcentral.
UGCUUAUCAUAUUCUUGCAAUUGUAAAAGAGAUAUAAUUAUAUACAUAAAUAUCUUGUAAUUGGUUGCUGUGUGUACAUUGGAGUAAAAUACCCUUAUAUCUAAUCAGUUUGGGCUGCAUUUCAUUUUUAUGCAGCUCAAAACACCAUAUCUGUUUAAAGGGGAAUAAUCCUUACAGAAAUUGAUUGUCUCCCAUAUUACUUUCUCUUCCAUGUGCAUGCAAUAACUGUUCAGUGUUCUAUUGCAAUCUA